RNAcentral lists this long non-coding RNA (1187 nucleotides) under Pan troglodytes (chimpanzee). RNAcentral describes it as "long non-coding RNA NONPTRT004059". The record is from RNAcentral. Lineage: Eukaryota; Metazoa; Chordata; Mammalia; Primates; Hominidae.
CUAGGAGAAUAAGGAGUGGAAAGUUGCUGUGAGGUUUACCUAAGAGGGCUUCCUAGAGGAGACUGGAAACUUCCUGUGUAGAAUGUGCACUGGAGACAGGGAUGGGAGAUAAGUCUGGAAAACUGGAAAGAAAAAUGUAGCUGCUGAGAAGCAAAGCUUAGAGCAGAUUAUAAAUACUGGAAGCCUCACUCUUACCAUUGUCACAAUGCACUCCUCGCCAGCCAACAUCACAGUCACAGGAGCCAUCUCCCAAGGGUCCUUGGUUGCAUCUCCCAUGGACACAAGAACAUGCUAAGUGGAAAAACACCUGCAAAUCGUCAGAUUCUAACCCAUGUUCAAUAACUCAUUUGUCAUUUACUAGGUUUGCUUUAUUGCACUUAAUUCUCCAACCUACUUCUAGGAAUCAUAGUCUUUAACAGGGGUCUUGAAUCACAAAAAGGGCAGGGGUGCAGGAGACAGAAUCUAGCAAGUUCACAGGUGAACAAGCUCUAGCUUCAAUGAAGUGGCUCAGACUGCAGUUUUGAGACAGUGUAGCACUGAAGAUCUGUGACCCAAGCAGUGUGAGAGUGUCCUCAGUCAAGGUUACCUGAGGAUCCAGGGUUAUGCAGGACUCCUUUGAUUGGAACCACUUUUGCCCCUUAAUAAUGGACUUCAGGAAGAAGCCCAUUUGACACUGGGUUUGUAUAAGCCUGGUGUGGCACUGCUUCCUCAAUUACACAGAUGAGUCUCUGAGAACUUGAUGAAAGCUACAGAUGCCUUCCCCAGAAAAAUGUAUUCAGCUUUAGCGGUUUGCUGAAUCCCAUGAGGGUCAUCUACAAAUCCCAUUUUAGGAACUCAUGCACAAAUGCAAGCAGAUAAUUACUCCAAAUAACACGGGAAAAAAUCAACACUGUAAUUCCAAGUGAAUAUUAUAUGGCCCAAUUAUAAUGAUUCAAUUGUACAUUAAUUUUGUCUAGCUUAGACCAGCUGAGGAGAAAACAGUGAUAGCCAAGUGAACUGUAUGGUUUUUAGUACUAGGUAGAAUAAUGCUUUGUUAGGAAACCCAAACUCUGGAGUCAACACUCUCACAGCUGUGUGUUCCUGGACACAAGGAAAUCUGGAUGUGAGAAUACAGAUGACUUGGCUCAAACAGAUCAUUGUUUUUGCAAAAACUACUUAAAGCAUGUGUCUUGCUGCUGGUGAAACAA